RNAcentral lists this ribosomal RNA (330 nucleotides) under uncultured eukaryote. Its description in RNAcentral is "partial 18S ribosomal RNA". It matches the Rfam family "Eukaryotic small subunit ribosomal RNA", at positions 1470 to 1796 of the family's 1831-position model. The record is from RNAcentral.
CCCUUAGAUGUUCUGGGCCGCACGCGCGCUACACUGAUGCAUUCAACGAGUCUAAAACCUGGUCUGAUAGGGCUGGGUAAUCUUUUGAAAGUGCAUCGUGAUUGGGAUAGAUGAUUGCAAUUCUUCAUCUUCAACGAGGAAUGCCUAGUAAACGCAAGUCAUCAGCUUGCAUUGAUUACGUCCCUGCCCUUUGUACACACCGCCCGUCGCUCCUACCGAUUGAAUGAUCCGAUGAAUACCAUGGAUUGAGAGUUCGAAUAGGUUCGCCUAUUUCAGCUUCUCGAGAAGUGGUGUAAAUCUUAUCAUUUAGAGGAAGGAGAAGUCGUAACA